RNAcentral lists this ribosomal RNA (354 nucleotides) under uncultured bacterium. Its description in RNAcentral is "SSU rRNA". It matches the Rfam family "Bacterial small subunit ribosomal RNA", at positions 26 to 374 of the family's 1533-position model. The record is from RNAcentral.
AGAACGAACGCUGGCGGCGUGGAUAAGACAUGCAAGUCGAACGCGACUUAUUUUGUUAGCAAUAACAGAGUAAGUUGAGUGGCGAAAGGGUGCGUAACACGUGGGAAUUUACCAAGAAGUGGGGAAUAGCUCGACGAAAGUCGAAUUAAUACCGCAUGUGAUCGAAAGAUCAAAGUCGGGGACCGCAAGGCCUGACGCUUUUUGAGAAGCCCGCGGCCCAUCAGCUAGUUGGCGGGGUAAAAGCCCACCAAGGCUAUGACGGGUAGCUGGUCUGAGAGGACGACCAGCCACACUGGAACUGAGACACGGUCCAGACACCUACGGGUGGCAGCAGUCGAGAAUUUUUCACAAUGG